ACCCGAAGCCGGUGGCCAACCCCCUUCUGGGGAGGGAGCUGUCGAGGUGGACUGGCGAUUGGGACGAAGUCGUAACAAGGUAGCCGUACCGGAAGGUGCGGCUGGAUCACCUCCUCU
This 117-nucleotide non-coding RNA is filed under the name Streptomyces afghaniensis 772. Its description in RNAcentral is "Bacterial small subunit ribosomal RNA". It matches the Rfam family "Bacterial small subunit ribosomal RNA", at positions 1419 to 1533 of the family's 1533-position model. The record is from Rfam by way of RNAcentral. Lineage: Bacteria; Bacillati; Actinomycetota; Actinomycetes; Kitasatosporales; Streptomycetaceae.